UUAACGCGAAGAACCUUACCAAAUCUUGACAUCCUUUGACAACUCUAGAGAUAGAGCUUUCCCCUUCGGGGGACAAAGUGACAGGUGGUGCAUGGUUGUCGUCAGCUCGUGUCGUGAGAUGUUGGGUUAAGUCCCGCAACGAGCGCAACCCUUAAGCUUAGUUGCCAUCAUUAAGUUGGGCACUCUAAGUUGACUGCCGGUGACAAACCGGAGGAAGGUGGGGAUGACGUCAAAUCAUCAUGCCCCUUAUGAUUUGGGCUACACACGUGCUACAAUGGACAAUACAAAGGGCAGCGAAACCGCGAGGUCAAGCAAAUCCCAUAAAGUUGUUCUCAGUUCGGAUUGUAGUCUGCAACUCGACUACAUGAAGCUGGAAUCGCUAGUAAUCGUAGAUCAGCA
Molecule: ribosomal RNA, 399 nt
Filed under: uncultured bacterium
Lineage: Bacteria
Description: bacterial SSU rRNA
Rfam family: Bacterial small subunit ribosomal RNA
Source: RNAcentral